RNAcentral lists this ribosomal RNA (264 nucleotides) under uncultured archaeon. RNAcentral's name for it is "partial 16S ribosomal RNA". It matches the Rfam family "Archaeal small subunit ribosomal RNA", at positions 714 to 982 of the family's 1478-position model. The record is from RNAcentral.
AGACGUCUACAUUAGAUACCCCCGUAGUCCCAGCCGUAAACUAUGCGCGUUAGGUGUAUCGGUGACCACGAGUCGCCGAGGUGCCGAAGGGAAACCGUGAAACGUGCCGCCUGGGAAGUACGGUCGCAAGGCUGAAACUUAAAGGAAUUGGCGGGGAGCACCACAACGGGUGGAGCCUGCGGUUUAAUUGGACUCAACGCCGGGAAGCUCACCGGAUAAGACAGCGGAAUGAUUGCCGGGCUGAAGACUCUGCAUGACUAGCUG